UACGGAGGAUGCAAGCGUUAUCCGGAAUGAUUGGGCGUAAAGCGUCCGCAGGUGGCUGUGUAAGUCUGCUGUUAAAGAGUGAGGCUCAACCUCAUAAAGGCAGUGGAAACUACAUGGCUAGAGUGCGUUCGGGGCAGAGGGAAUUCCUGGUGUAGCGGUGAAAUGCGCAGAUAUCAGGAAGAACACCCGUGGCGAAGGCGGCUCUCUGGGACGGUACUGACGCUGAGACGCGAAAGCGUGGGGAGCGAACAGG
RNAcentral lists this ribosomal RNA (253 nucleotides) under uncultured bacterium. RNAcentral describes it as "partial 16S ribosomal RNA". It matches the Rfam family "Bacterial small subunit ribosomal RNA", at positions 524 to 776 of the family's 1533-position model. The record is from RNAcentral.